UGUGCAGUUACAUUGAAACUGUAACGGAAAUUAUGUAGACUGUUGUAAAUUUGAUUGUGACAUAGUAGGCCGAAGAUUGAAGAACACUCUUGCAAGUUGGUUCCUUUUUUGAUAAAUCGUUCGGACGUCGCACUCUUCAACGUCCCACGUGAAAAAGACCGCGACGAUGAAGAACCCGGUGACGGCUACGCUCGAUUUUCUUUCCUACUGGUAUUUCAGAUACUUGAUGGUCACCGAGCUCUACAUGGUCGAGAAAUGGGAACGUGUUUUCUGCAAUUUCACCAUUUUAAUAUUUUUAAUGAUUCUCUCCUUUGUAAACUGCAAGAUGCUUACCUACUCCAGUGUGCUGAUAUCAGAAGGCUUUAGAAAUUUCACUUUAUUAUCUUGAAUUGUACAUAUAAUGUAUUAUUUGUUUUCAGAUAUGGUUUCAAGGCUGGAUUUCAUUAUGCCUGGUUUAUCCUAGUC
This is a long non-coding RNA of Cimex lectularius (bed bug), 465 nucleotides long. RefSeq lists it as uncharacterized. The transcript is spliced from 2 exons. NCBI's taxonomy places the organism in Eukaryota, Metazoa, Arthropoda, Insecta, Hemiptera, Cimicidae. The record is from RefSeq and is a predicted model, not a curated record.